Molecule: transfer RNA, 73 nt
Filed under: Acropora cervicornis
Lineage: Eukaryota; Metazoa; Cnidaria; Anthozoa; Scleractinia; Acroporidae
Description: tRNA-OTHER
Source: RNAcentral
GGCUUCAUAGCUCAGUUGGUGGGACCAUCACAUCGGUAUCGCAAGGUCACAGGUUCAAAGUCUGUUGAAGUCC